RNAcentral lists this ribosomal RNA (399 nucleotides) under uncultured bacterium. Its description in RNAcentral is "bacterial SSU rRNA". It matches the Rfam family "Bacterial small subunit ribosomal RNA", at positions 509 to 910 of the family's 1533-position model. The record is from RNAcentral.
CAGCAGCCGCGGUAAUACGGAGGGUGCAAGCGUUAUCCGGAUUCACUGGGUCUAAAGGGUGUGUAGGCGGAUUGUUAAGUCAGUGGUGAAAUCUCCGGGCUCAACCCGGAAACUGCCGUUGAUACUAUCAGUCUUGAAUUCUGUUGAGGUGGGCGGAAUUGACGGUGUAGCGGUGAAAUGCUUAGAUAUCGUCAAGAACACCGAUUGCGAAGGCAGCUCACUAAGCUUUAACUGACGCUGAGGCACGAAAGUGUGGGGAUCAAACAGGAUUAGAUACCCUGGUAGUCCACACUGUAAACGUUGAUUACUCGCUGUUGGCGAUACACAGCCAGCGGCCAAGCGCAAGCGAUAAGUAAUCCACCUGGGGAGUACGCCGGCAACGGUGAAACUCAAAGGAAU